Thamnophis elegans (Western terrestrial garter snake) is the source of this 392-nucleotide long non-coding RNA. RefSeq lists it as uncharacterized. NCBI's taxonomy places the organism in Eukaryota, Metazoa, Chordata, Lepidosauria, Squamata, Natricidae. The transcript is spliced from 2 exons. The record is from RefSeq and is a predicted model, not a curated record.
AAGGGUCCCCCGGGUGGUUCGGCGGCGAAGCGCUUCCGGACUCCCGCCUUAGGCCAGCCACCGGGGCUCGCUCUCUAUGGUUGCUCCCGCUCUGGGAAAGGCGUCUCGAAGGCACCUUCGGCCGUAAAGCCGCGGUGGGGAGGUGUGGCGUAAAGCGCGGCUGUCGCGAAGAGCGGAGGAGCCGGAAGGAGACGCGCGGCGCCGGUUGGGCGACAAAAUGGCGGCGGCGCCUGGGCGUCCCGGGGGCAGCACCGGCGACGGGGCGGCGGGAGGAGGAGGAGGAGGAGGAGCGGGAGCCGCUGCCACCGCCUGAGUCUGAUCUCCGGUUCCCGGGUGACGACCGAGGGUGCCCCGCGCCCCCCCCCCGGCGGAAGAGGCGGCAGGACAGGUGG